RNAcentral lists this long non-coding RNA (256 nucleotides) under Lepidothrix coronata (blue-crowned manakin). RNAcentral describes it as "lncRNA (ENSLCOG00000001025.1)". Lineage: Eukaryota; Metazoa; Chordata; Aves; Passeriformes; Pipridae. The record is from RNAcentral.
AGAGCUGAUUUUUUUUUUUUCCAUCUAACUUUAGCAGAUGUAAAGGGAAGCCCAUUCGUUCAUUUGCAAAAUCUUCUGGAAAUUUAUUUGGAUGUUGUAUACUGAAUGUCACUGAAAGUAGUUCAGAAUUUAAUUUCUGCAGAAGAGGAUACAUUGAACUCCGCAUUGUUCUUCACAGGAACCAGGUUUCAUCCCUAAACCUCACACUUUAACAAGUCCCAAAGUGUAAAAGGCAGACGUACAAAUGUCUACCACA